Gossypium raimondii (Peruvian cotton) is the source of this 385-nucleotide long non-coding RNA. RefSeq lists it as uncharacterized. Lineage: Eukaryota; Viridiplantae; Streptophyta; Magnoliopsida; Malvales; Malvaceae. The record is from RefSeq and is a predicted model, not a curated record. The transcript has 4 exons.
CCGAAAACAAGAAAAAGAAUAAGGUUUUAAGACCUUGAACAUUCGGCCUUUGGUGUUGCUCAAUUAAGAUCAAGAAACCAAGAAAUCGGAUUUAGAUCGGGGGAAAUCGAAAGUAGUUGAGUAGUCGAUCAAUUAGUCGACGACAUCCGAGAUUUUGGUGACCGCUACGUGUUCGGGGAUCGUCAGCUAAGCUCGUCACACUAUCGAUAUUUCCUUUUGUAAUGGAUCCCGAUCGAACUGUAGCGGAUGAUGUCGAGAGUGUAGCACCUGCUCCCGUGCAAGAGACGGAGCCGGUUGAUUCUCGACCGAAUGCGAGUAACCAUGGUGAUGAGACUAUAUCAGGAUAGGAUCACCCGUCCGGGCUAGAUCCUUUUUACCGUCAAUU